GACGAACGCUGGCGGCGUGCUUAACACAUGCAAGUCGAACGGAAAGGCCCUGCUUUUGCGGGGUGCUCGAGUGGCGAACGGGUGAGUAACACGUGAGUAACCUGCCCUUGACUGUGGGAUAACUUCAGGAAACUGGGGCUAAUACCGGAUAGGAGCUCCUGCUGCAUGGUGUGGGUUGGAAAGUUUCGGCGGUUUGGGAUGUACUCGCGGCUUAUCAGCUUGUUGGUGGGGUAGUGGCUUACCAAGGCUUUGACGGCUAGCCGGCCUGAGAGGGUGAACGGCCACAUGGGGACUGAGAUACGGCCCAGACUCCUACGGGAGGCAGAAGUGGGGAAUAUUGCACAAUGGGCGGAAGCCUGAUGCAGCAACGCCGCGUGCGGGAUGACGGCCUUCGGGUUGUAAACCGCUUUCGCCUGUGACGAAGCGUGAGUGACGGUAAUGGGUAAAGAAGCACCGGCUAACUACGUG
This 468-nucleotide ribosomal RNA is filed under the name uncultured bacterium. RNAcentral's name for it is "partial 16S ribosomal RNA". It matches the Rfam family "Bacterial small subunit ribosomal RNA", at positions 28 to 507 of the family's 1533-position model. The record is from RNAcentral.